CCUACGUGAGGCUGCAGUGGGGAAUAUUGGACAAUGGGGGGAACCCUGAUCCAGCGACGCCGCGUGAGUGAAGCAGUAUUUCGGUAUGUACCGCUCUAUCAGCAGGGAAGAAAAUGACGGUACCUGACUAAGAAGCACCGGCUAACUACGUGCCAGCAGCCGCGGUAAUACGUAGGGGGCAAGCGUUCUCCGGAUUUACUGGGUGUAAAGGGAGCGUAGACGGUGCAGCAAGUCUGAUGUGAAAGGUCGGGGCCCAACCCCGGGACUGCAUUGGACACUGUUGAACUGGAGUACAGGAGAGGUAAGCGGAAUUCCUAGUGUAGCGGUGAAAGGCGGAGAUAGCAGGAGGAACACCGGCGGCGAAGGCGGCCUGCUGGACCGCGACUGACGUGGAGGCUCGAAAGCGUGGGGAGCGAACAGGAUUAGAUACCCGAGUAGUC
This 440-nucleotide ribosomal RNA is filed under the name uncultured bacterium. RNAcentral describes it as "partial 16S ribosomal RNA". It matches the Rfam family "Bacterial small subunit ribosomal RNA", at positions 338 to 795 of the family's 1533-position model. The record is from RNAcentral.